This is a non-coding RNA of Lasiosphaeria hispida, 87 nucleotides long. The record is from the annotation of a GenBank genome assembly. Lineage: Eukaryota; Fungi; Ascomycota; Sordariomycetes; Sordariales; Lasiosphaeriaceae.
GCCUUUGUGGUCUAGUGGUAUGACGUUCGCCUCACAUCUUGAAAAAGUGGACGCGACAGGUCCCAGGUUCGAUCCCUGGCGGAGGCA